Molecule: long non-coding RNA, 281 nt
Filed under: Lathyrus oleraceus (garden pea)
Lineage: Eukaryota; Viridiplantae; Streptophyta; Magnoliopsida; Fabales; Fabaceae
Description: Pisum sativum (pea) long non-coding RNA (PSAT_LNC005844)
Source: RNAcentral
UCCAAUCACCUUUUUCAAAAAGUUGGUCAUUUGGAGGAUCUUGAAGACGAGCGAGUCAUAGCAGAAUUGGAACCCGAUAGAAAUCCAUUUCACAUUGCCAUUAGAUUAAUUUCUGUUUUUAUCUUUUAUGCAAUUACCUCUUUCCAGGGAUUACUUCCUGAUGUAAAUGCAUAUUCAGAGGCCAUUCAAUCAAUAAAAAUCAUGUUAUUCAGUAUAUCUCUGUGUUAAUUUUCAUUUUUACUGCUUUGUUUGCAAAAAUGACGUCCGAGUUUUUGAUAAAC